RNAcentral lists this ribosomal RNA (1133 nucleotides) under uncultured organism. Its description in RNAcentral is "SSU rRNA". It matches the Rfam family "Bacterial small subunit ribosomal RNA", at positions 28 to 1150 of the family's 1533-position model. The record is from RNAcentral.
GAUGAACGCUAGCGGCAGGCUUAUCACAUGCAAGUCGAGGGGCAGCAUAAUGGAUAGCAAUAUCUAUGGUGGCGACCGGCGCACGGGUGCGUAACGCGUAUGCAACCUACCUUUAACAGGGGGAUAACACUGAGAAAUUGGUACUAAUACCCCAUAAUAUCAUAGAAGGCAUCUUUUAUGGUUGAAAAUUCCGAUGGUUAGAGAUGGGCAUGCGUUGUAUUAGCUAGUUGGUGGGGUAACGGCUCACCAAGGCGACGAUACAUAGGGGGACUGAGAGGUUAACCCCCCACACUGGUACUGAGACACGGACCAGACUCCUACGGGAGGCAGCAGUGAGGAAUAUUGGUCAAUGGACGCAAGUCUGAACCAGCCAUGCCGCGUGCAGGAUGACGGCUCUAUGAGUUGUAAACUGCUUUUGUACGAGGGUAAACGCAGAUACGUGUAUCUGUCUGAGAGUAUCGUACGAAUAAGGAUCGGCUAACUCCGUGCCAGCAGCCGCGGUAAUACGGAGGAUUCAAGCGUUAUCCGGAUUUAUUGGGUUUAAAGGGUGCGUAGGCGGUUUGAUAAGUUAGAGGUGAAAUUUCGGGGCUCAACCCUGAACGUGCCUCUAAUACUGUUGAGCUAGAGAGUAGUUGCGGUAGGCGGAAUGUAUGGUGUAGCGGUGAAAUGCUUAGAGAUCAUACAGAACACCGAUUGCGAAGGCAGCUUACCAAACUAUAUCUGACGUUGAGGCACGAAAGCGUGGGGAGCAAACGGGAUUAGAUACCCUGGUAGUCCACGCAGUAAAACGAUGAAAUAACUCGUUGUCGGCGAUACACAGUCGGUGACUAAGCGAAAGCGAUAAGUUAUCCACCUGGGGAGUACGUUCGCAAGAAGAAACUCAAAGAAAUUGACGGGGGCCCGCACAAGCGGAGGAACAUGUGGUUUAAUUCGAUGAUACGCGAGGAACCUUACCCGGGCUUGAAAGUAAGCGACGAUUCUUGAAAGAGGAUUUCCCUUCGGGGCGCGAAACUAGGUGCUGCAUGGUUGUCGUCAAGCUCGUGCCGUGAGGUGUCGGGUUAAAGUCCCAUAACGAGCGCGAACCCCUACCGUUAGUUGUCAUCUAGGUCUAAGCUGGGCACUCUGGCGGGACU